UUGACCUCGGAUCAGGUAGGGAUACCCGCUGAACUUAAGCAUAUCAAGANCCGGGGAGGGGAGAA
RNAcentral lists this ribosomal RNA (65 nucleotides) under Alternaria tenuissima. RNAcentral's name for it is "partial 28S ribosomal RNA". The record is from RNAcentral. Lineage: Eukaryota; Fungi; Ascomycota; Dothideomycetes; Pleosporales; Pleosporaceae.